This 662-nucleotide long non-coding RNA is filed under the name Hordeum vulgare. Its description in RNAcentral is "long non-coding RNA (HVUL_LNC010873)". The record is from RNAcentral. Lineage: Eukaryota; Viridiplantae; Streptophyta; Magnoliopsida; Poales; Poaceae.
AUCGGAUCCGGUCGUCCCACCCAUCAUAGUCGGAUCGACGAUUCCCCGCCGCCGCACGCCUCCAAGUUGCUCUGUCUCCGCGGCCGCGCUGCCCGAUUCAGAAGCCGCAUCGCCCAAAUUCACCAGUGCAUGACCUCCACAGCACCCCGCCACACUUCUUCUAGCUGUCCCUCGUCGAUACCAUCACCCGUGUUGAUGUCACGCCGCCAUGUCGCUGAAGAGUCAAGAUGGGAGUGGGUCGACCCGGACCUGGUCCGAUGGCCCCAAGGUCAAUAUGCGAGGCCAUUGGUCGACCUAUUUCAUUAGAAUUUCCUGGCCUUAGUGACUCAUUGGAUACACGAAGCCGAUCCAAAAUUCAACAUUUUUUACACAUGCUUGAUGUCCUCGUGUAUUACUCAUCCCGUUCUCUUCCUCUCUCGGUUUUUUUAACUCAUCAUGUCCACAUACAGGUGAGUUGAUGUACACGUCAUUGGAUGUCUCAUUACGGAAAAUAAUUAGUCAUACUGCACUGGCCGAGGCAAUAUGUCUAUAUGUAUGCAUGCACGUUGUUCGUGCAUCCUUGGUUCAGAACUUCAGAUGUCGUAACACGAGGAUAUCAAAUGGCCUCACGUACUAACCCAUUUAGGCAAUAUGUAUAUGCAUGCCUGCUGUUUUGUGUCGAC